GGCGCCGGCGCAAGGCCUGAGCGGGGGGACCGGCGCUGCAGAGCCUUGGGAUUGGAGGAUUGAGCCUUCAGGGCUGCCGGCUUUGCUUUGUAGAAGCUAGAAUCUUCCACCUUAUUUUGUCACGGAUAUAAACAGCAGCUCCGUAAGGUACGUCACGUGCAGAUGUGACCUACCAGACGCUUCGGUCGGGUGUGAAUCAGGAGUAAAACCAGUCAAAUCAGUGGAGUGACAGCAGGUCACACUGGAAUCAGACACGUUAUGGUUUCUGAAAAUGUUGUUGAAUUAUUUGUUAAAAUUCACUGUGUACAUUUGAGGUUCUUGAAAGUGAUGAAGAGAGUCCCAGGAAGGAAUUUUCAUUAAAGUGAGCAACACAGAGAAGGAACAGAAGCAUGAACUACUCCGGUUUCAACAGAGACAAAAUA
Egretta garzetta (little egret) is the source of this 422-nucleotide long non-coding RNA. RefSeq lists it as uncharacterized. The record is from RefSeq and is a predicted model, not a curated record. NCBI's taxonomy places the organism in Eukaryota, Metazoa, Chordata, Aves, Pelecaniformes, Ardeidae. The transcript is spliced from 3 exons.